This 305-nucleotide ribosomal RNA is filed under the name uncultured bacterium. Its description in RNAcentral is "bacterial SSU rRNA". It matches the Rfam family "Bacterial small subunit ribosomal RNA", at positions 334 to 654 of the family's 1533-position model. The record is from RNAcentral.
AGGGCCUACGGGGGGCAGCAGUGGGGAAUAUUGGGCAAUGGGCGCAAGCCUGACCCAGCAACGCCGCGUGAAGGAAGAAGGCUUUCGGGUUGUAAACUUCUUUUCUCAGGGACGAAGCAAGUGACGGUACCUGAGGAAUAAGCCACGGCUAACUACGUGCCAGCAGCCGCGGUAAUACGUAGGUGGCAAGCGUUAUCCGGAUUUAUUGGGCGUAAAGCGUGCGUAGGCGGCUUGUUAAGUCCAGAAUUAAAGCCCGAGGCUUAACCUCGGUUCGUUCUGGAUACUGGCAGGCUAGAGUAUGGUAG